RNAcentral lists this ribosomal RNA (465 nucleotides) under uncultured bacterium. Its description in RNAcentral is "partial 16S ribosomal RNA". It matches the Rfam family "Bacterial small subunit ribosomal RNA", at positions 28 to 507 of the family's 1533-position model. The record is from RNAcentral.
GACGAACGCUGGCGGCGUGCUUAACACAUGCAAGUCGAACGGAAAGGCCCUGCUUGCCGGGUACUCGAGUGGCGAACGGGUGAGUAACACGUGGGUGAUCUGCCCUGCACUUCGGGAUAAGCCUGGUAAACUGGGUCUAAUACCGGAUAGGAGCCAUAUUUAGUGUGAUGGUUGGAAAGUUUUUUCGGUGUAGGAUGAGCUCGCGGCCUAUCAGCUUGUUGGUGGGGUAAUGGCCUACCAAGGCGGCGGCGGGUAGCCGGCCUGAGAGGGUGGACGGCCACAUUGGGACUGAGAUGCGGCACAGACACCUACGGGAGGGAGAAGUGGGGAAUAUUGCACAAGGGGCGCAAGCCGGAUGCAGCGACGCCGCGUGGGGGAUGACGGCCUUCGGGUUGUAAACUACUUUCGCUAGGGACGAAGCUUUUUGUGACGGUACCUAGAUAAGAAGCACCGGCUAACUACGUG